AAUACUCUUUUAUAUUUUAUCUUCAAAAUAGACAAUGCAUCCUGCCAUAUCAUUCUGAAAUAUAUAGAAUCAUUUGAUUUUAUCAUUGCACCAGGAUGGGUUUCCACAUCUUUGAUGCUACUGUAUGAAAUAACUCUGCACUUUAUAAUGAACUUCGGGGAAUUGAUCAUAAAAAUUGCAUUGUUCUUCCUGAAUACAUCAACAUCAACUCGGUCCUUAUCAAGGGUGCAACUGAAAACAAAGCUAUGGAUGGAUCUGGUGGGCGAGGGUUACGGACUUGAGGACCAAUGGCUUGACUGUCAAGAGUUGCCUGAGGAGCCCAUCAUUAAUACUUCACAACAGCAUAAAUGUGGGACCAGUAUCCGGUUGCAUUCAACUGUGCGGGAAAGCUCAACUGCUUCACUUUGAGUAUUGGAGGUAUCUCUAAAGAAGGUUCCUGUGAGUUGUUGCUAUGGCAUUCCCCGUCCUCAGUGAAGUCCUCUCUAGCAUCCAUCUCAAAAGUGUGCUGCGGGCCGGACAACCCAGUCGUGUGAAAAGGCCCUGUUAGUGAAACGACAUGGACAUUGAAAAUGCCACUAUAUUCAAAAGGCUUUCCUGCUUUGUAUGCUAGGGCAUUGCGGUGUGGUUUCUAGACUAUUUUGAGAGUUUUUGUGCAUUUCUGGGUGAUUGCUAGGUUGUUGCAUACAGGCCCAACUCAAGUCACUUCUUAAAUAUAAUACUUUUUUUGUUGUUUUGUCACCAAAUAUAUAGAUAUGACUUGAGGCAUCAUUCAUGACUGUUCUUACUUUUUCCUUUUUUGCCAAAAAUUACAAAUCUUUCAUGUUGUUCCAAACCUGUGGAACACAUUCAAGAGAAUGAAUCAUAAAUGCAUUUAAAUUUAGAGGGGGGUCUUGUGUUGUUUAGACCACUAUGUUCUUCAAAAUAUUGUUUAAAUAAUAAUAAAUUACAGAAAGAAGUUCCAUGUUCUGUCAUCUAUUAUUCAGUCA
This is a long non-coding RNA of Carassius gibelio (silver crucian carp), 986 nucleotides long. RefSeq lists it as uncharacterized. NCBI's taxonomy places the organism in Eukaryota, Metazoa, Chordata, Actinopteri, Cypriniformes, Cyprinidae. The transcript has 3 exons. The record is from RefSeq and is a predicted model, not a curated record.